Molecule: ribosomal RNA, 253 nt
Filed under: uncultured bacterium
Lineage: Bacteria
Description: partial 16S ribosomal RNA
Rfam family: Bacterial small subunit ribosomal RNA
Source: RNAcentral
UACGAAGGGGGCUAGCGUUGCUCGGAAUUACUGGGCGUAAAGCGUGCGCAGGCGGUUUUGUAAGCCAGAUGUGAAAUCCCCGGGCUUAACCUGGGAAUGGCAUUUGGGACUGCAAGGCUUGAGUGCGGCAGAGGAGACUAGAAUUCCUGGUGUAGCAGUGAAAUGCGUAGAGAUAUGGAGGAACACCAGUGGCGAAGGCGACUUUCUGGUCUGUAACUGACACUGAGGCGCGAAAGCGUGGGGAGCAAACAGG